AUUUCCUACGGGGGGCAGCAGUGGGGGAUAUUGCACAAUGGGGGAAACCCUGAUGCAGCGACGCCGCGUGAGGGAAGACGGUUUUCGGAUUGUAAACCUCUGUCUUUGGGGACGAAUUGAGACGGUACCCAAGGAGGAAGCUCCGGCUAACUACGUGCCAGCAGCCGCGGUAAUACGUAGGGAGCAAGCGUUGUCCGGAAUUACUGGGUGUAAAGGGUGCGUAGGCGGCUUGGCAAGUCAGUAGUGAAAUCCAUGGGCUUAACCCAUGAACUGCUAUUGAAACUGUCGAGCUUGAGUGAAGUAGG
This 305-nucleotide ribosomal RNA is filed under the name uncultured bacterium. Its description in RNAcentral is "bacterial SSU rRNA". It matches the Rfam family "Bacterial small subunit ribosomal RNA", at positions 334 to 655 of the family's 1533-position model. The record is from RNAcentral.